RNAcentral lists this ribosomal RNA (1482 nucleotides) under uncultured prokaryote. Its description in RNAcentral is "partial 16S ribosomal RNA". It matches the Rfam family "Bacterial small subunit ribosomal RNA". The record is from RNAcentral.
AGAGUUUGAUCAUGGCUCAGGAUGAACGCUAGCGGCAGGCUUAACACAUGCAAGUCGAACGGUAAGGCCCUGCUUGCAGGGUACACGAGUGGCGCACGGGUGCGUAACGCGUAUGCAACCUACCCAUUACAGAGGGAUAGCCCCGAGAAAUCGGGAUUAAUACCUCAUAAUAUCACAUGACCGCAUGGUCGAGUGAUUAAAACUCCGGUGGUAAUGGAUGGGCAUGCGUGACAUUAGUUAGUUGGUGAGGUAACGGCUCACCAAGACUACGAUGUUUAGGGGUUCUGAGAGGAUUGUCCCCCACACUGGUACUGAGACACGGACCAGACUCCUACGGGAGGCAGCAGUAGGGAAUAUUGGUCAAUGGACGAAAGUCUGAACCAGCCAUGCCGCGUGCAGGAUGAAGGCCCUACGGGUCGUAAACUGCUUUUAUAUGGGAAGAAACCCCCGGACGUGUCCGGGGCUGACGGUACCAUAAGAAUAAGGAUCGGCUAACUCCGUGCCAGCAGCCGCGGUAAUACGGAGGGUCCAAGCGUUAUCCGGAUUUAUUGGGUUUAAAGGGUCCGUAGGCGGGAAAUUAAGUCAGUGGUGAAAGCCUACGGCUCAACUGUAGAACUGCCAUUGAAACUGAUUUUCUUGAAUAUAGAUGAAGUAGGCGGAAUAUAUCAUGUAGCGGUGAAAUGCAUAGAUAUGAUAUAGAACACCGAUUGCGAAGGCAGCUUACUAAACUAUUUUUGACGCUGAGGGACGAAAGUGUGGGGAGCGAACAGGAUUAGAUACCCUGGUAGUCCACACCGCAAACGAUGAUUACUCGGUGCUAGCGAUAUACUGUUAGUGCCUAAGCGAAACCAUUAAGUGAGCCACCUGGGGAGUACGUCGGCAACGAUGAAACUCAAAGGAAUUGACGGGGGCCCGCACAAGCGGUGGAACAUGUGGUUUAAUUCGAUGAUACGCGAGGAACCUUACCUGGGCUUAAAUGUAGAUUGCAUAGAGUAGAAAUAUUCUUUUCCUUCGGGACUAUUUACAAGGUGCUGCAUGGUUGUCGUCAGCUCGUGCCGUGAGGUGUCGGGUUAAGUCCCAUAACGAGCGCAACCCCUAUUCUUAGUUGCCAGCGGGUCAUGCCGGGGACUCUAGGAAAACUGCCAGCGUAAGCUGUGAGGAAGGUGGGGAUGACGUCAAAUCAGCACGGCCCUUACGUCUAGGGCUACACACGUGCUACAAUGGCCGGUACAGAGGGCAGCUACCACGUGAGUGGAUGCGAAUCUCCAAAGCCGGUCUCAGUUCGGAUCGAAGUCUGCAACUCGACUUCGUGAAGUUGGAUUCGCUAGUAAUCGUAUAUCAGCAAUGAUACGGUGAAUACGUUCCCGGGCCUUGUACACACCGCCCGUCAAACAAUGGAAGCUGGGGGUACCUGAAGUCCGUCACCGAAAGGAGCGGCCUAGGGUAAAACUAGUAACUGGUGUUAAGUCGUAACAAGGUAAC